CAAUAGCGUAUAUUUAAGUUGUUGCAGUUAAAAAGCUCGUAGUCGGAUUUUGGCUGAGAACGAUCGGUCCGCCGUUAGGUGUGCACUGAUUGGUCUCAGCUUCCUGGUGAGGAGGUGUGCUUCACGGCCACUUAGUCACCGUGGUUACUUUGAAAAAAUUAGAGUGUUCAAAGCGGGCUUACGCUUGAAUAUAUUAGCAUGGAAUAACACCAUAGGACUCCUGUCCUAUUUCGUUGGUCUCGGGACGGGAGUAAUGAUUAAGGGGAACAGUUGGGGGCAUUCGUAUUUCAUUGUCAGAGGUGAAAUUCUUGGAUUUAUGAAAGACGAACUACUGCGAAAGCAUUUGCCAAGGAUGUUUUCAUUAA
This 365-nucleotide ribosomal RNA is filed under the name uncultured eukaryote. Its description in RNAcentral is "partial 18S ribosomal RNA". It matches the Rfam family "Eukaryotic small subunit ribosomal RNA", at positions 592 to 976 of the family's 1831-position model. The record is from RNAcentral.